This 429-nucleotide ribosomal RNA is filed under the name Acidobacteriota bacterium. Its description in RNAcentral is "Acidobacteria bacterium partial 16S ribosomal RNA". It matches the Rfam family "Bacterial small subunit ribosomal RNA", at positions 355 to 776 of the family's 1533-position model. Lineage: Bacteria; Pseudomonadati; Acidobacteriota. The record is from RNAcentral.
UGGGGAAUUUUGGACAAUGGGGGAAACCCUGAUCCAGCCAUCCCGCGUGUGCGAUGAAGGCCUUCGGGUUGUAAAGCACUUUUGGCAGGAAAGAAACGUCAUGGGUUAAUACCCCGUGAAACUGACGGUACCUGCAGAAUAAGCACCGGCUAACUACGUGCCAGCAGCCGCGGUAAUACGUAGGGUGCAAGCGUUAAUCGGAAUUACUGGGCGUAAAGCGUGCGCAGGCGGUUCGGAAAGAAAGAUGUGAAAUCCCAGAGCUCAACUUUGGAACUGCAUUUUUAACUACCGGGCUAGAGUGUGUCAGAGGGAGGUGGAAUUCCGCGUGUAGCAGUGAAAUGCGUAGAUAUGCGGAGGAACACCGAUGGCGAAGGCCGCCUCCUGGGAUAACACUGACGCUCAUGCACGAAAGCGUGGGGAGCAAACAGG